Molecule: ribosomal RNA, 226 nt
Filed under: uncultured bacterium
Lineage: Bacteria
Description: partial 16S ribosomal RNA
Rfam family: Bacterial small subunit ribosomal RNA
Source: RNAcentral
UGAGUAACGCGUAUCCAACCUGCCGUCUACUCUUGGACAGCCUUCUGAAAGGAAGAUUAAUACAAGAUGGCAUCAUGAGUCCGCAUGUUCACAUGAUUAAAGGUAUUCCGGUAGACGAUGGGGAUGCGUUCCAUUAGAUAGUAGGCGGGGUAACGGCCCACCUAGUCUUCGAUGGAUAGGGGUUCUGAGAGGAAGGUCCCCCACAUUGGACUGAGACACGGCCCAA